GCAGUGGCUCAGUGGUAGAGCAUCUGCUUUGUGCAGAAGGUCCCAGGUUCGAUUCCUGGCAUCUCCA
Non-coding RNA from Eublepharis macularius, 67 nucleotides. The record is from the annotation of a RefSeq genome assembly. NCBI's taxonomy places the organism in Eukaryota, Metazoa, Chordata, Lepidosauria, Squamata, Eublepharidae.